GACCUAGCCUUAGGUGCCACAGAUACCUAUCAUUUAGACUAUCUCUAGGCCUUUUAAUUCUCAUUGCAUUCACAUUUUGCUCGAUAUGAAAUACAGAUACAUCAAUAUGUAGCUGAUAGAGAUCAUUAAUAAGAAAAUCAUUUGCAACUUUAUUAUUUUCAUAAAAUAUGUUACAAUGGUCCUUAUGAAAGCUAAUCACAUAGCCUUCU
This 209-nucleotide long non-coding RNA is filed under the name Elaeis guineensis (African oil palm). RNAcentral describes it as "long non-coding RNA (EGUI_LNC069107)". Lineage: Eukaryota; Viridiplantae; Streptophyta; Magnoliopsida; Arecales; Arecaceae. The record is from RNAcentral.